UAAAAUCUAAACUAAGGAAAAAGAGUAUAGCUACUUCCCUGAUGUUGAUCACUGAAGAUCUUUGAGUCGACGCAUUCCAAUCUUGUGAACUAAUUUCUUGAAUGUAGACGUCGGCAAUGCUUUUAUGAAUAAAUCUACCAUAUUUUCACUUGAACGAAUUUGUUGAAUAUCGGUGUCGCCAUUCUUUUGAAACUCAUGAGUAUGAAAGAAAUUUGGAGAAAUACGUUUCAUGCUAUCACCUUUGAAUAACCUCUUCUAAGUUGUGCAAUACAAAUUAUAUAAUCUUCAUACAAAAUUGUUUGACUAUCUUUUGUUAAAGUUAACCAGUAUAAUGCUUGGAUAUGAUGUGUUAUGUUUUUCAACCAUACACAUUCUCAACCUGCUUCAUGGAUUGCAAUAUUUCAGAAUGAUUUAAGAAUGUAGCUGUUAGGGAUUGCUUCACAGAUCUCCAUAAUAAAUAACUGUUCCUCCACAUGUAAACGCAUAUCUAUGUGUGAUUUAGCUUUAUGUAGGUCAGAUAG
RNAcentral lists this long non-coding RNA (521 nucleotides) under Olea europaea (common olive). RNAcentral's name for it is "long non-coding RNA (OEUR_LNC009881)". The record is from RNAcentral. Lineage: Eukaryota; Viridiplantae; Streptophyta; Magnoliopsida; Lamiales; Oleaceae.